CCCGCUGAACUUAAGCAUUAAGGG
RNAcentral lists this ribosomal RNA (24 nucleotides) under Colletotrichum gloeosporioides. RNAcentral describes it as "partial 28S ribosomal RNA". The record is from RNAcentral. Lineage: Eukaryota; Fungi; Ascomycota; Sordariomycetes; Glomerellales; Glomerellaceae.